RNAcentral lists this long non-coding RNA (576 nucleotides) under Homo sapiens (human). RNAcentral describes it as "HSALNT0086822". The record is from RNAcentral. Lineage: Eukaryota; Metazoa; Chordata; Mammalia; Primates; Hominidae.
UAAUGCAUAUGGGGAAACUGAGGCCCAGGGGGCAACUAUUGCAUCCAGAAAAAAAAAAAAUGAAGAUAAUGACUUCUCUGCAACUAAGAUGAAGAUCCACUGAACUUUGGGGUUUGAAAUGCAACGUUAGAACUUCAGACUCCCGGCACCUAGGUCUCCAGCUGCUGGGUGGUGCCAGCAUCAGAGAUACACUCUGCAAAACAUAUACUGUCUUAGGAAAAAGUGACCCUGUUGUCCUUUCAGGCCCAUAUUCCACAAGAAGACAAAUGGAGAUGUAAAAGGAAAACUGCAGCUCCGACUGAAGAGAGAGCAAGUUGUCUGUUCUGAUACAGCCAGGAAAUAAGAUGUUCUGGUUAAUAUGUGCUAAAGAUGUGGUGCUGACUUUCCGACUCAGAAUAUGAUCACAUGUUUUUCUCAUUAAAACUAUAUUGAAUAUUAUUUGACCAUUGUUGAGUCAGUCAUCUUGAUAAAUAUUAUCUUCGUACAGUCCUGAGCAGAGAGUCAGUGACUAGAAUGCCACUGAAACCAGCUUUUUAUAGGACACGGUUUUCAUGGUUUUAGGGCAUGGAGAAACUU